AGUCAAUCAGGGUCAACGAAGUUACUCACAGACUUCAUAGGUCGAGUCAAAAAGCACUGGCCAAGUACCACAAGAACAAACAAAAGGCUACCAAAGAUUGACAUGGAAGAUGACAGAAAAACGCAACCUCAUCGGGAAUGAGACAAUACCUGGCGAUAUUCUGGCAAUCACAUCAACCUUAGUCACUGACUUCAACGGUUAGUUCUUGAAAUAACAUUAAAUAAACUCACAUGAUUUUGUGGUUCAUUUACUAUUACACUAUAUGGUUACACAAGCUCAAAUACUUGAAAGAAGAUUCAAUUUUUGUGUUAAAAAGAACUUAACACAGCAUCCAAUUUCAUGUCCACAACUGGUACUCCACAAUAAUUACGGCUUUGACAUUGACUAAAACAUAAAUAAAUAUGAUCAAACCUAAGAU
This 418-nucleotide long non-coding RNA is filed under the name Helianthus annuus (common sunflower). The record is from RNAcentral. Lineage: Eukaryota; Viridiplantae; Streptophyta; Magnoliopsida; Asterales; Asteraceae.